This is a regulatory RNA element of Thioclava dalianensis, 50 nucleotides long. It matches the Rfam family "SAM/SAH riboswitch aptamer". Lineage: Bacteria; Pseudomonadati; Pseudomonadota; Alphaproteobacteria; Rhodobacterales; Paracoccaceae. The record is from Rfam.
GAACCGUUCCAACGGCUUCCUGACGGAACGGGGUUUUCAACAACGGAGCA